Molecule: ribosomal RNA, 481 nt
Filed under: uncultured bacterium
Lineage: Bacteria
Description: partial 16S ribosomal RNA
Rfam family: Bacterial small subunit ribosomal RNA
Source: RNAcentral
GACGAACGUUGGCGGCGUGCUUAAUACAUGCAAGUCAACUGAAGCAGUGGUAGCAAUAUCGCUGUGGAGGUGGCGCACGGGUGAGUAACACGUAGGUAAUCUGCCUUCAGGUCUGGCAUAGCUCCGGGAAACCGGGGCUAAUAGCAGAUGAUGCAGCGGCUCGACAUCGAGACAGUUGUUAAAGCUAUGGCGCCUGAAGAUGAGCCUGCGUCUGAUUAGCUAGUUGGCGGGGUAACGGCCCACCAAGGCAACGAUCAGUAGCUGGUCUGAGAGGAUGAUCAGCCACACUGGAACUGAGACACGAUCCAGACUCCUACGGGAGGCAGCAGUAAGGAAUAUUGCUCAAUGGGAGAAAUCCUGAAGCAGCAACGCCGCGUGAGGGACGAAGGGCUUUUGCUUGUAAACCUCUGUAGUGAGAGAAAAAAAUCCCAAUCUUUGGGACAUGAUGGUAUCUCAAAAGUAAGCCCCGGCUAACUACGUG